RNAcentral lists this ribosomal RNA (435 nucleotides) under uncultured bacterium. RNAcentral's name for it is "partial 16S ribosomal RNA". It matches the Rfam family "Bacterial small subunit ribosomal RNA", at positions 28 to 507 of the family's 1533-position model. The record is from RNAcentral.
GAUGAACGCUGGCGGUAUGCUUAACACAUGCAAGUCGAACGGACUCGUCGGAGUUAGUGGCGGACGGGUGAGUAACGCGUGAGAAGCUGGCUUUGGGUUCGGGACAACCACUGGAAACGGUGGCUAAUACCGGAUGUGCCGAGAGGAAAAAGGGAAAUUGCCUGAAGAUGAGUUCGCGUCUGAUUAGCUAGUUGGUGAGGUAAAGGCUCACCAAGGCAGCGAUCAGUAGCUGGUCUGAGGGGAUGACCAGCCACACUGGGACUGAGAGACGGCCCAGACGCCUACUGGAGGCAGCAGUGGGGAAUUUUCCGCAAUGGGCGAAGGCCUGACGGAGCAAUACCGCGUGAGGGAAGAAGGCUCUUGGGUUGUAAACCUCUUUUCUUAGGGAAGAACAAAAUGACGGUACCUAAGGAAUCAGCAUCGGCUAACUCCGUG